GUUAGAAUGUGAGCUCACGAGGGCAGGAUCACGUCUGCCACGUGAGUCACUGCACCCUGGCGCCUGGACUGAGCUUGGCACACAGAAGUGGCCCGAUGGCUGGGUGUUGAAGGAGUGAGAGUUGGUGUUUGAUUUUACCGCUGAAGACACAGAGGUGUCACCUGAGUGUCCUGCCCGAUGAUGACAGCUGUGCUUUAUGGAGAGUCCUGUGUGCUGAGCCCUUUAAACCUCACAGCAACUGGGAAGAUGUACAACCCCAUUUGUGAGGAAGAGACCCGCCAGCUUGAGCGUCUUGGGCAAAGACACACAGCAGGGCAGAGGGAGGCGCGGGGCCCAAACCCUGCUGGUGACUUCUUUGCUGUCUUGACUCCCACCGUCCUCUCGGACAGUCGAGUGGCCCUUCCCACUCACUCCAUCUCCAGGCAGCCCCGGGUGUGACCCGCAGACAGAAUCCACCCGGCUGUACGACCUCCUAGCCAAGGACUGGCCCCAUUUCCCAGGACUCCCAUUUCAGCGUUUCCCGUCCAACAGUAAGUUCUUCCUUCAGCCUCCCCUCAAUCCCGCUUGCUUCCGCUUCCGCUUCAGCUCAAUUCUUGUCCCGCGGUCUGUGGAGCUCACGCCAAGAGUCCCGCACUGCAACUCCGACUCUUCGCUUGCGUGCAGGGCAGCCCGGGCUCCGCGGGCGGAACCCCGACUCCCAGGCAGAUGUGGUUGAGGACCUGGGUGAAAUCACAAAUGAGCUUGCCUGGAGCACUGGAGGGAUCAGAAGUGCCUCUCCUGCCACCGGCCACCAGCAGCGGAGAUGUCAGCCCUGUCCCUCUGACCCUGCCAGUGCCACUCAACUUCUCUCUCCCUGGAUUUCCCACCUGGGGCUCUGCCUCCCUCUGACUCCUGGGUGCGGUGGGUCAGGCUCUCUGCCUGUGUGUGCCUCAGGUACCUGCUGCCCUCUCUCUUUGCUGUCUUGGUGUGGGUUCCACACCCGGGCUGUCCCAUCUUGCAGCUGGUGAUUGGCCUGGGUCUGAUGUGCACCCUGCCCCAGGCGGUGGGCCCUGUAUCCUGCUAGAGCUAAGAGCUGGGGACAGCUGGGCACCAAAGAAAAGCAGCCCAGCUUUUAGGUCAACAGGGCUGGCAGCCAGAGGUUUCCUUUUAUCUAAGAUGGAUUUGAUCUUCCAGGCCAGGCCUGGCUGAGUGCUUGAGCACACAUACACACACGCACACACACACAUGUAUCCACACACAUGGAGACACACAAAGCAGGUUUGCUUUUUGUUUGUUUGUUUGUGUUUUGAGACAGGGUCUCACUAUGUAGUUGAGACUGACCUGGAACUCACUAUGUAGCCCAGACUGGUCUCGAGCUCACAGCGAUCCCCUUGCCUCAGCCUCCCGAGUGCUGGGAUUACAGGCAUGCGCCACCACUCCCGGCUUACAAAGCAGGUUUUGAGCAGCAUCACAUAACCCCACAGCCACACCAACAAUCACAUCUCCCUACUGAUAUCCAGGAUCCAGAGACCCUGACCCCAACUCCCAGCCCCAAACCACACCACACAGAGUCCCCACCUUCCUUCUCCAGGAACCCUGGGGCAGGGGAAGGUGCCUCUGGAAGGAACAAGGACAAGAGGUCCCAGAUGUUACCACCCCAAGCUACAGAGACUCUAGCCUCUCGCCCAGCAAGGUGGCAGGAGGAGGACAGCUCCUGAGCCAGGCUCCCCAGCUGGAGGAAAGAAGGAAAGAUUCGCUCCCAGGACCCUCUGUUGGCUCCCGGCCCUGCUCUCUCCUAUACUGGCCACGAAAGCCCGUCACUUUCCAGGCAGCUGUGAUUUCUUUGUUUCCUCCUUUCUUUGUAUUCCCCUUGAUUUAUGAGACUGGAGCCGAAGAUCUUUUCUCAUUUCACUUACUUUGAAACGGACUCAAGUCGUUUCAAUAAUAAAUCAGUCUAAAUAAAAAGCAAAGCUCCCACGUGCUUGUGGGGGCCUGGAUGAGGACUGCUCCGGGAAAGGC
This is a long non-coding RNA of Fukomys damarensis (Damara mole-rat), 1998 nucleotides long. NCBI's taxonomy places the organism in Eukaryota, Metazoa, Chordata, Mammalia, Rodentia, Bathyergidae. The record is from Ensembl.